RNAcentral lists this ribosomal RNA (583 nucleotides) under uncultured bacterium. Its description in RNAcentral is "bacterial SSU rRNA". It matches the Rfam family "Bacterial small subunit ribosomal RNA", at positions 338 to 939 of the family's 1533-position model. The record is from RNAcentral.
CCUACGGGAGGCAGCAGUGGGGAAUAUUGGACAAUGGGCGAAAGCCUGAUCCAGCAAUGCCGCGUGAGUGAUGAAGGCCUUCGGGUCGUAAAGCUCUUUUACCAGGGAUGAUAAUGACAGUACCUGGAGAAUAAGCUCCGGCUAACUCCGUGCCAGCAGCCGCGGUAAUACGGAGGGAGCUAGCGUUGUUCGGAAUUACUGGGCGUAAAGAGUACGUAGGCGGUUAUUCAAGUCAGAGGUGAAAGCCCGGGGCUCAACCCCGGAACUGCCUUUGAAACUAGAUAACUAGAGUCUUGGAGAGGUUAGUGGAAUUCCGAGUGUAGAGGUGAAAUUCGUAGAUAUUCGGAAGAACACCAGUGGCGAAGGCGACUAACUGGACAAGUACUGACGCUGAGGUACGAAAGCGUGGGGAGCAAACAGGAUUAGAUACCCUGGUAGUCCACGCCGUAAACGAUGAUAACUAGUUGUUCGGUCACUUGGUGACUGAGUGACGCAGCUAACGCAUUAAGUUAUCCGCCUGGGGAGUACGGUCGCAAGNUUAAAACNAANGAUGACGNUGNGNGUUGCGAGNGACAGNGGAGNG